UCGCCUUAGGAUGGGACUGCGUCCGAUUAGGUUGUUGGCGGGGUAACGGCCCACCAAGCCAUUGAUCGGUACGGGUUGUGGGAGCAAGAUCCCGGAGAUGGAUUCUGAGACAUGAAUCCAGGCCCUACGGGGCGCAGCAGGCGCGCAAACUUUACAAUGCGAGCAAUCGUGAUAAGGACACCCUGAGUGCCUGUCGAUGCAGGCUGUUCAUAUAUCUAAAUCAUAUGUGAAGAAAGGGCAGGGCAAGACCGGUGCCAGCCGCCGCGGUAAUACCGGCUGCUCGAGUGAUGGCCACUAUUACUGGGUUUAAAGCGUCCGUAGCUUGACUGUUAGGUCUCUUGGGAAAUCUUCACGCUCAACGUGAAGGCGUCUAAGAGAUACCGGCAGUCUUGGAACUGGGAGAGGUAAACCGUACUUCGGGGGUAGGAGUGAAAUCUUGUAAUCCUCGAGGGACGACCUAUGGCGAAGGCAGUUUACCAGAACAGCUUCGACAGUGAGGGACGAAAGCUGGGGGAGCAAACGGGAUUAGAUACCCCGGUAGUCCCAGCCGUAAACAAUGUGCGUUAGGUGUGUCGGUAACCACGUGUUACUGGUGCGCCGAAGAGAAAUCGUGAAACGCACCACCUGGGAAGUACGGUCGCAAGGCUGAAACUUAA
RNAcentral lists this ribosomal RNA (656 nucleotides) under uncultured archaeon. Its description in RNAcentral is "bacterial SSU rRNA". It matches the Rfam family "Archaeal small subunit ribosomal RNA", at positions 199 to 859 of the family's 1478-position model. The record is from RNAcentral.